This is an RNA transcript of Neofelis nebulosa (Clouded leopard), 4241 nucleotides long. It is a transcript of the gene named cytochrome P450 2C21-like, with no coding region annotated. The transcript is spliced from 11 exons. Lineage: Eukaryota; Metazoa; Chordata; Mammalia; Carnivora; Felidae. The record is from RefSeq and is a predicted model, not a curated record.
AGAGAGAGAGACAGAGCAUGAGUGGGGGAGGGGCAGAGAGAGAGGAAGACAGAAUUCAAAGCAGGCUCCAGGCUCCGUGCUGUCAGCACAGAGCCCAAAGUGGGGCUCAGACCCACGAACUGUGAGAUCGUGACCUGAGCCGAAGUUGGACACUCAACCGACUGAGCCACCCACGUGCCCCAAGCCCCCCUCCUUUCUGGAGGGACACAAACUCAGGAUAGAUCUCACGUAGGUGUUAAACUCAGGCACCUCUUGGUAGUCUGUGGAAUUUGAAUGGCUGGUAGACAAGUUCAGCAGCUGCAGCCUGAGAAGGGCCUGGGACCAGUGGUGGUCCUGCCAUCAGGUAAGCCUCAGAUGCUCAGAAUCGCUAGGUGAGGGUGAAGGGAAAUAGACCGAGGUAAUGAUGAUAAGUUACCAACUUGGGGGGCAGGGGCUGUUUAUCCCACUGACCUUCCCCAAGCUUGCCACAGGGAAGGCUGGCCCACCAGAACCUGGGAGGGGCGGCCUAGAGGAGUCACAUGAAGAUUUCUCCGAAGCUGACAGUGUCGCAUCACUUGGAUACCCCUUCAGAACCCGAGGACUUGGUCCCCGAGUUGCCAGCGGAGGGCCACGUCCAUCAGCUGAAGAGCGCUCCCUUUCCCAGGUGGCCCAGUGCCUGGAGAGGCAGGCAUAUCCGGGCCCCGAGCCCUGGACAGCUUUGAAGGGGUCCGCCAAGACCUCCCUCUAGGCGGUACGUAGCCAACUUCUCCCCCCGCCUCCCCUCCCCAGGUCUUGGUCCCAAGGGCACCCCUCAUAAACUUUUCCUUACGCUGAUCCCCGGGUCACAGUUUACUUCCUGGGAAAACACUUCUGACAACCAUGACAGAAACUUUGGAUUUUUUUUUUCUGAGGUGGGAUUUAUUUGGAGAGUUUUUUUCACAGGGACGUACCUUAAACUGACUUACCCGUUUAAAUGGUUGAUUUGCAUUCCAUGUCAAAAACUCACCAUAGUGGGCAGAAGUAUAAACAGACCAGGUAGGAGGCUACUGCCCCGGUCCAGGUAAGGAAUGGAAAGACUGGCACAGGGGGUGGGGGUGGGAGUGGUGGGAAGUCACAGGAUUCAAGACAGAUUUUACUUUAUUUAUUUUCAUUUUAUUUUAGGGAGAGGGGCAGAGGGAAAGAGCAUCUUAAGCAGGCUCCACACUCAGCACGGAGCCUGAGAUGGGGCUUGAUCCCACAACCUUGGGAUCAUGACCUGAGCUGAAAUCAAGAGUCAGACACUCAACCCAGCUGAGCCACCCACGCGCCCCUGAGACAGAUUUUAAACGUAGAGCAGACUGACUCAGGCUGUUCUCCUCCUGCCAGACGCCAAAGAGCUUCUCCCCCAUAAUGGGCCACUAAGGCAGACUUUUCAGCUCUGCGGACCCCGUUGUUCUAUGCCCGGAGCUCGGAAUGGCAGGAGAAAGGAGUGUGGCAGGUGUGGCCUGGUGUCCCCAGUCCCGUGGGCAUGUGCUGAAGGUUGGCUCCCUCACCUGCUUCCCUCUUCUACCCCCAAGAGCCCUGUUCUAGAGGAAAGAGUAACAUCUAGAAAGCACAUCAGGUGUAACGGUCCCUUACAUUGAUGGCACUUUCCAUAUUACAAAAUGCAUUUAUAUUUGUUGCUCUGCGGGCAUCACAAACCAUACCAAUGGGCAAUUUCAUAGGUGGGGAACCAGGGACUUGGUGCAAAUGAGAAAUAGAACGUAUGGGGUCGUGAGAAAACACGUGCAGUGGGUUAUAGGGAACGCUGUGGUUUCUGCUCUGUGGGCAAGUGCCUGUGGUCAGGGUCUGAGAGCAUCAGGGGAUUUGUUGUAAUGGUUAGGUCGUGGCUGACUGCCCUCUUCCCUCUAAAUAUUCUCUUGAUGCCAUGUCACUGAAUCAAUUUGAAAAGAAGUAAAGCAUUUCUGUCCAAUGGGACUAAGCCAACAAGGAACUGAAUUGCCGAAACCGUUUGGCAGAAGACACACGUUGCAUUGAAGCAGCAGCCGCUUCUGGUGACAAAUAUACCUCGAAACCUUGGCAAACCAUCUGUUGAAUUUAAGAGAGGGUUUACUGCAUUGUGAUUACCUGUGUAUAUCCUGAGAUCUGUGUCUAAUAUUUACCAGAGAGGAACGCAUGGUGAAUUAUUUCUGACUUCUGACACAUAAUGAAUUUCCAUAUGCUCUUCCCAGAUUGAAGCAUUGUCCUCUCGGCAACCUUGGCAUAGGCCAAGAAUCUGAGGUUUAUGAGAUGCUACGGAGAAGCAGGAGCUAGAAAAAUAGUCCACCCCAUUCCAAGCUUCUGCAGAAAAUCCUGGAGUCUGAGGAGAAAGGUGACCCGUCUUGCAUGCCGUCGGAGGCUGUUGGUCAAGGCCGGGCGUGUGGAUCAGUCAUUGCUGAAAGACAGGUGCGCAGAGCCUAGCGGCGGGAAGAAAGAGCACAGUGUGGGCCAUUAAACACCGAUAAUAAAAUAAUCUAACUAUGCCUUCGUGCCUUGGUCUGUGUUACAGAAGCUGCAGAUCUGGCUGUUUCCUGUCCCGUGUGCACCGUAUGGCUGAGGGCUGGGUCAAAAUCCACUGAAGAUAAAAAAGUAUCCCAAAGGUUGAAGAUUUAGUGCAUGUUUGAUGAUCAGCUGGAACUUAGUAUUUAUAAAACCUUUGGAUUCCAAGCUUCCAACUGCAUUUACGCAAGGUACAACAAUGGAUCUUUUCAUAAUUCUGGUGAUUUAUCUUUCUUGUUUGAUUCUUUAUUUUCUCUGGAAUCGAAACUGUGCCAAAGGGAAGCUCCCACCUGGCCCCACUCCUCUGCCAAUCGUUGGAAAUAUUUUGCAGAUAAAUACUAAUAAUGUAAGCAAAUCCAUAAGCAAGCUAGCAGAGAGUUACGGCCCUGUGUUCACUGUGUACUUUGGCAUCAAGCCCACUGUGGUGAUAUACGGAUAUGAAGCAGUAAAGGAAGCUCUAAUUGAUCAGAGUGAGGUGUUUUCUGGCAGAGGCCCUUUCCCAGUGCUGGACAAAUCCAUCCAGGGAUUAGGAAUUAUUUUCAGCAACGGAGAGCAGUGGAAGCAAGUUCGGCGUUUCUCCCUCAUGGUUUUGCGGAAUAUGGGCAUGGGGAAGAAGAGUAUUGAAGACAGAAUUCAAGAGGAGGCCUUGUAUCUGGUGGAAGCAUUAACAAACACCAAUGCAUCUCCCUGUGAUCCUACUUUCCUUCUGGACUGUGCUUCCUGCAAUGUGAUCUGCUCCGUUGUUUUCCAGAAUCGUUUUGAGUAUGAUGAUAAGAAAUUUUCAAUCUUGAUAAAUUAUUUUCAUGAAAACCUCCUAAUUUCAAGCAACUCCUGGAUACAGCUCUGCAAUGCUUUUCCUCUUUUAAUACACUUUCCAGGAUGUCACAAUGUGUUACUUAAAAACAUUGCUAACCAAUGUAGGUUUAUUGUGGAAAAAAUAAAAGAACACCAAGAAUCCCUGGACCUCAGUAACCCUCGAGACUUUAUUGACUACUUCCUGAUCAAAAUAGAAAAGGAAAAACACAAUAAACAGUCUGAAUUUACCAUGGACAACUUGAUCGUUACUGUCUGGGAUGUGAUUAGUGCAGGAACAGAGACAACGAGCACCACCCUGAGGUAUGGACUCCUGCUCCUGCUGAAGCACCCAGAGGUCACAGCUAAAGUCCAGGAAGAGAUUGACCGUGUGGUUGGCAGACACCGGAGCCCCUGCAUGCAGGACAGGAGCCACAUGCCUUACACAGAUGCUGUGGUACAUGAGAUCCAGAGAUUCAUUGACCUCGUCCCCAACAGUCUGCCCCAUGCAGUGACUCAGGACACUAAGUUCAGAGAAUACCUCAUUCCUAAGGGCACAACCAUAUUAACAUCUCUGACUUCUGUCCUGCAUGAUGAGAAAGAGUUUCCCAACCCAGAUCAGUUUGAUCCUGGCCACUUCCUGGAUGAAAGUGGCAACUUUAAGAAGAGUGACUACUUCCUGGCUUUUUCAGCAGUCCAGCUAAGAGGACCUUGAGGGGGACAGGAAAUUCUUGCUCCCCAACAGACAAUUGGUGUGUCAGCAGGACACCUUAACUCGCUGGACACUGCUCACCCCACACACUAUGAUAGCCAAAAGUCCCUGAGGACAGCUGGCACAAGGAAAGAGAGUUUGUAUUGGAGAAGGCCUGGCCCGCAUGGAGCUGUUUUUACUACUGACCAACAUUUUACAGCAUUUUACGUUGAAAUCUGUGGUUGAUCCAAAGGACCUUGAA